Molecule: ribosomal RNA, 454 nt
Filed under: uncultured Bacteroides sp.
Lineage: Bacteria; Pseudomonadati; Bacteroidota; Bacteroidia; Bacteroidales; Bacteroidaceae
Description: bacterial SSU rRNA
Rfam family: Bacterial small subunit ribosomal RNA
Source: RNAcentral
GCUUAAGUGCCAUAACGAGCGCAACCCUCGUGGUCAGUUACUAACAGGUUAAGCUGAGGACUCUGGCCAGACUGCCAUCGUAAGAUGUGAGGAAGGUGGGGAUGACGUCAAAUCAGCACGGCCCUUACGUCCGGGGCUACACACGUGUUACAAUGGGAGGUACAGAAGGCAGCUACCCGGCGACGGGAUGCCAAUCCCCAAAACCUCUCUCAGUUCGGACUGGAGUCUGCAACCCGACUCCACGAAGCUGGAUUCGCUAGUAAUCGCGCAUCAGCCACGGCGCGGUGAAUACGUUCCCGGGCCUUGUACACACCGCCCGUCAAGCCAUGAAAGCCGGGGGUACCUGAAGUGCGUAACCGCAAGGAGCGUCCUAGGGUAAAACCGGUAAUUGGGGCUAAGUCGUAACAAGGUAGCCGUACUGGAAGGUGCGGCUGGAACACCUCGUCGACGCGGC